UACUCCGCCCCACGGGGAAGGAUGGGAAGCUUCGGUCAAGGUUCGACUCGAGCGAAGCGAGAGAACGUUGCCGCAGGCACCGGCCCGACGGGCGAGGCGCUUUAGCGGCGAGUAAUCCUUCCCCCACCGCCA
This 132-nucleotide small RNA is filed under the name Klebsiella pneumoniae. RNAcentral describes it as "RtT RNA". It matches the Rfam family "RtT RNA". Rfam says of the family: This family represents a bacterial cis-regulatory element known as RtT RNA. The exact function of RtT is unknown although it is thought that it may be involved in changing the cellular response in relation to amino acid starvation. Lineage: Bacteria; Pseudomonadati; Pseudomonadota; Gammaproteobacteria; Enterobacterales; Enterobacteriaceae. The record is from RNAcentral.